Long non-coding RNA from Nymphaea colorata (pocket water lily), 1428 nucleotides. RefSeq lists it as uncharacterized. NCBI's taxonomy places the organism in Eukaryota, Viridiplantae, Streptophyta, Magnoliopsida, Nymphaeales, Nymphaeaceae. The record is from RefSeq and is a predicted model, not a curated record. The transcript has 3 exons.
UGACAGCCGACCUCAGCCGCUCGAUCCCGUCCCAUUGAGCGGCAGAGAUCAGAUCCCCUCUCAACAGUUACUCUGGCAACUCUUCAUCGACAUCGACCCCUCUCUCUCUCUCUCUCUCUCUCCUCCCCGCCCAGUGAGUCAGUGAGUGCGACACCCGGCGUCCAAAGACUUGCCGUCGCCGUCGAGUCCGAGCGUCGCCGCCGUCCUCCCUCACCGAGAGAGUACUCCUGCCUGCCCCACGGCAACGGCACCCGUCGACGGUUUCAGCUGCUGUCUCCCGCUCUAUCUGUUCCUUGCAGGUGCCCGCACCAGAAUCCGACGACGUCGCCGUUGCCGUCGUCACUGAGCUUGGCCGCCGUCGUCCCUCAACCACCGAUAUCCAUCACCUUCCCCGCCGGUGCCCAUUGUUGAAGGAGACAUCCACAACCACAACCGCGCAGUGCCUGGAUCUACUUAUUUUAAUGGCUCAAAUUAUAUCCCUUUACUUGAUGAUUCAAAUUAUGCUGAAUGGAAAGAAAAUGUUGUGUUUACGUUGGGGUAUAUGGAUCUGGAUAUGGCUUUGAGGCGACCUGAGCCACCACCUCUUACACCAGAAAGUACACAUAAUGAAAUAGUGUAUUUUGACAAGUGGGAGCGUUAUAACCGACUAAGCUUGUUGCUUUUGCAAUCAAGGGUCGCUAAGAACAUACGUGGUGCUAUCCCACCUUGUAGAUCGGUGAGAGAGUUCUUGGAUGCAGUUGAGGCUCAGUUUGUUAGUUCUCAUAAAGCCAGAUCCAGUACCCUAUUGUCAAAGUUAAUAUCUCUGAAAUAUCAAUGAGGGGGUAACAUUCGCCAGUAUAUGUUAGAGAUGAGGAACAUUGCUUCUCAAUUGAAUGACAUGAAGUUGACUAUUUCUGAAUCAUUCUUGGUAUUCUUUACUUUGACCUCUUUACCAGCUGAAUAUACUCCUUUCAAGAUCAGUUACAACACACAUAAUACUGAAUGGACAUUCAAUGAAUUGAUGUCCAAGUGUGUUGAAGAGGAGGAAAGAAUGAAGGGUGAGAAGUUGCAAAGUGCACAUAUGGUUUCUCACUUUGGGGCUGGUAAAGUUGGCAUAAAGAAAAGUUCAAUGAAAAGGAGUGCCAAGAAGAAGUCAACAGGACAAACUGCUUCUCAAACUGCGCAGACUAACUUAGCCCCUAUAAAGUGUUUCUUUUGCAAGAAAAAGGGGCAUAAGAAGUCAGACUGCAUCAAGUACAAGAAUUGGUUAGAGAAAAAAGGACUUUCUGAGCAAAAGGGAACCAACACUACAUGAGAGGAGCAUUUUCUCAGGAAACAAAAUGCGCUCACAUGUGAAGGCUGUAGAAGAAUGCCAGAUUAGGCUUGAUACUGGCUUUGUUUUGGAUCUUCAUGAUGUUUUCUUUGUUCCAUCAUAUAGUAGAAACUUAA